This 399-nucleotide ribosomal RNA is filed under the name Neoseiulus agrestis. RNAcentral's name for it is "partial 12S ribosomal RNA". Lineage: Eukaryota; Metazoa; Arthropoda; Arachnida; Mesostigmata; Phytoseiidae. The record is from RNAcentral.
UUAGAUACCCUAUUAGUGUAUUUGAUGUUUAGUAGUAAGUGAAAGACAUGAAACUAAAAUUAAUUGGCGGCUUUUGAACUAUAUUAGAGGAAUUUAUCCUGUAAAGGAUGAGACACCAAAAUCUUACUUUUUUUUGAAAAUUUUUCAGCUUGUAUAUCGCUAUUAAUUAAAAAUAUGAUGAAGUAUUUUUUUCAAUCAAGAAAAGUUUGAGGGUUUUUAGGUCAAGGUACAGCUUAUGAAAAAGAUUGAGAUAAAUUAUUUUAAUUUUUAUUUAACAAGAUUUAUUAUGAAAAUUCUAAAUUUAGAAAAAUUUAAAAGUAAAGUUUAUUUAAGAAGUAAAUUUGAAUAAGGGAAUCAAUUGUGUACAUAUUGCCCGUCGCUCUCCGAAGGAGAUAAGUC